GACGAACGCUGGCGGCGUGCUUAACACAUGCCAGUCGAACGGAAAGGCCCUGCUUUUGUGUGGUGCUCGAGUGGCGAACGGGUGAGUAACACGUGAGUAACCUGCCCUUGACUUUGGGAUAACUUCAGGAAACUGGGGCUAAUACCGGAUAGGAGCUCCUGCUGCAUGGUGGGGGUUGGAAAGUUUCGGCGGAUGGGGAUGGACUCGCGGCUUAUCAGCUUGUUGGUGGGGUAGUGGCUUACCAAGGCUUUGACGGGUAGCCGGCCUGAGAGGGUGACCGGCCACAUUGGGACUGAGAUACGGACCAGACUCCUACGGGAGGCAGCAGUGGGGAAUCUUGCACAAUGGGCGGAAGCCUGAUGCAGCAACGCCGCGUGCGGGAUGACGGCCUUCGGGUUGUAAACCGCUUUCGCCUGUGACGAAGCGUGAGUGACGGUAAUGGGUAAAGAAGCACCGGCUAACUACGUG
Molecule: ribosomal RNA, 468 nt
Filed under: uncultured bacterium
Lineage: Bacteria
Description: partial 16S ribosomal RNA
Rfam family: Bacterial small subunit ribosomal RNA
Source: RNAcentral